This 979-nucleotide long non-coding RNA is filed under the name Hordeum vulgare. RNAcentral describes it as "long non-coding RNA (HVUL_LNC011344)". Lineage: Eukaryota; Viridiplantae; Streptophyta; Magnoliopsida; Poales; Poaceae. The record is from RNAcentral.
UUUUUAUUAUGAUUCAUGUUAUGUAAUUAACUCUGUCAAUUUUUAGUUUAUAUUUUGCAAUUCGGUCGACUGAAAAUUUUGUUCUGGGAACUAGUAGAAAAUUGGCAGAAUUCAACAUUUUUUCUACAAAGGCACUAUUAUUUACUCAUAAUGUCAUCAUGACAUUCAAUUGAACACUCUGCAGGCGGUUCAUGUAUCAGGCCCAAAGUUGUUCAACCUGCGUGGAUGCGUGAACUUUUGUGAUUUCGUAAAACAUGUAACUUCCAUUGUUCACCGCUCUUAUAUCUACUUGUUGAUCCAGUACAAAUCUUGUAACCUUCUAUUGCAACUCAUCGGGCAUCCAUAGUCCUUGUCCAUAGAAGAGCAAGCCAAUGAGCCGGGAAGUCAUGCAUAUAUAAAAUUUGGGUUAAGUUCGGACUCUUAAUCACUAAAGGAAAGAGCAAGCCAAUGAUCCGAGAAGUCAUGGUAGUGAUUUGAUACUUUGCGACUGAUUGAUACAACGAAAUCAAAUUGUAGAUGAUAAAUGGUGGCAAUGAAAUCUCAUGCAUCAAACUUGAUAACAGUUGGAAUGUCCCACCCUCAGAAUAUUCCGCAGUCUAGCACAAAAAUGGACAGAAGUUGUGCCUGCUCCAAGAUUUGUUUUUUGGAGACUCCGGACACCUCCCAUGCCGACAAGCAAUUGAUAAGGCAAACAAAUAGUAAGAGUGAUAUGAUAUGAGAUGAGGCAUGUUAUUCAAGUGGUUUAACUCUACACAAGUUGCCUAGUUGCAUGGAGGAGGAAGUUUAAUUUACCUCCUCGGUUGUGAGUAGCGAGUUCAACUUAUAUGGGGUUGAGGGUCCUUAUCCUCACAUGCUCAUGUCACUAGGCCAUAAGUAACAUUUGUUUUGAAAUGGAGGUCAUAAGUACGAUAUAUAUGCUAAGAACGUAAAAAAAUAGAUAGGCCAGGAAAAGCUCCAUUAAAAGUGAGGUGGAUAGGUU